UUAUUAUAUGUUCUAUUUGCUAACAGUUUUCAGCAGAUAUUUAUCAAACUUAUUUUGAGAAUAAGGUUUGUUUGAAACAGAAUUUUGAUGGAAAAAGGAAACAACCAAUGUAAAAGGAAGACUUCAAACAGAGGUUUCAAAAGAUGUAAUUUGAGUUUGAGUUGUUUCCCUUGUUAACCAUUAUGGAGGGAUAAUUGGUCUAUUUUCUUAUCUCCUUUUUUACCACUAUGGAGGAAUAAUAGGUUGAUUUUCUUAUCUCCCUUGUUUACCAUUAUGAAGGAAUAAUAGGUUGAUUUUCUUAUCUCCCUUGUUUACCAUUAUGAAGGAAUAAUAGGUUGAUUUUCUAAUCUCCCUUGUUUACCAUUAUGGAGGUUGAUUUUCUAAUCUCCCUUGUUUACCAUUAUGGAGGAAUAAUAGGUUGGUUUUCUUAUCUAACCAAAUUAAAACAUGCACAGUCUGCACGGUUAGCCACUAGUCCGAUGCCCCAGACUAGUAAAAUUUCAUUCGGACUAGUAAGUUUUUGCAAAACUUUGUUUGGCCAAAUAAGAAAAAUGUCAGAAUAUUGGUCUAUGGACUAGUGGUUGAAAAAGUUUUUGGUGCAGACUGCAU
Molecule: long non-coding RNA, 609 nt
Filed under: Mytilus galloprovincialis (Mediterranean mussel)
Lineage: Eukaryota; Metazoa; Mollusca; Bivalvia; Mytilida; Mytilidae
Source: RNAcentral